CAGGGCUGCUCUCCCGCCUGCCUGUCGGCGGAGGCCGCGCCUUCCCCUUCCCCCUCAGGAGCCCGCUCGCUGCCGUUUCUCAGUCGGCUGUCAGUUCCUCCUUCACACCCCAAGACUGCUCCGAGCCCCACAAAAUAGCCCCCAGCCCCCGUCCCUCGGGCCGGGGCCGCCGCCUCCCCCGCCCCCUCGGGAGGCCGGUCGCUUCCGGUCGCGGGCUCGGAGCGCGUCGGCGUUGUGGUGGCGACGGCUGAGCGCGGCCGCCGCGGGGCAGAUCCUUCGGCUGAACCCUCUCGGAACAUUUGGUUCAAAAAAGAAGACACUGCUUUUCGUGAUAAAAUGGCUGUGGUGAAACCCUCCAGCAGAGAACCAAAGAAUGCCGAAGAAUCAUUUAACAAGGUAUCAUCCCUCCUUUUGAAGAACCUAGUGGAGGAGCCCAAGAAAAGAACAGAGGUACCUAAUCACCUCCUAGAAUCAAGUCUCUCGGGCGACAUUCUCCACCGUUUUCCGUACUCUUACAGUCAGCUUCGUUUUUCAAAUCCUGCGUGAAUCUUAGCCCUGUGUGCUCUAGUACUCUUCCUUCACCUGGCCUCUGGACCCCUUUGCUGUCUGAUCCUGCAGUGUCCCCUCACUGACUCUCCACUGGUCCCCAGCUCCAGCCACCUCAUAUUACUCCCUGCUCCUUCGAGUCCAUGUGGAUUUUAUACUUUCUUGUUUUUUUCAUGUGAUCCCUUAGCCUGGGAAACCUGGUAAAUCCUGUAGCUAUGACAUGAAAAGCUGAUCAGUUUGCCUAUGUUAUUAAAUCACACAGCAACCUCCUGAGGUUCUUUCUAUAUCCAUUCUACUGGUGGAGAAGCUGAAACCCAGAGAAAUCAACUGAAUUCCUUGACGGGAUGCAACCAGUCAGCCCCUGAACAGGAGAGCAGGCGUUUGAGCCUUUAGGCUCUUUCCCAUCAAGCUCAGUGGCCCUCACUCCUUCAGAGCCCAUCCUAGUUUUGGAAAAGUGAUGUGUUGGUGUGGCUCUUUUGCCACUUGUAGAACAAAUUAGUACAUAUUACAAUUUCUUGCCAUUAGCAGGAAAAGACCACAUUUACAUCUACUUUGUGGCCCUAAACAAACAAACAAAAGCAAAAAACAAGCAUUCAGCAUGAAACACUGGCAAUUUCAGUGCUUAGAAUUCACUGAAUAGUAACCUCAGAGUCUUUAUUUCACCUUACCUGCCAUCCUUGCCCCAUUCCAGCUCUUCAGUUGGGCCCAAGGCUGAUGACAAUGCUAUCUCACCUGGGGAGCAACAAAAGUACCCAGUUUCCCAUCCACCUCUGACUGAUACUAGAGUCAUGAUGGGGUAAAGAGCAGGUGAGGGUGUCUGUGACUCACAUGAUUUGGAUGUAUUCAGAGCUUGAAGGCUAGUAUUUGUGAGAAAGCAGACCCCACAAUCUUAUUGCGGGAGGCAGUUUAGAAUAGUGGUGGGAAAUCAGAUGGACCUGGGCUUGAUUUUAACUACCAAUCCUGGACAACUUAGUAAGGUCUCAGCUUCCUCCUCUGUAAGCAGAAAUAACACCUACCUCAUGGGGUAGGAAUGAGGGCUCUAUGUAAAUGGGGACACAGUACUGCCUGGCACAAAGCUCUUAAGAAAAGGAAACAAUUCAUUGUGUAAUGGGCUUGGCUCAGUUCCUGCCUAAAUAAAGAGCUGGGAAAGUUAUGUACCCGGCACAGCUUUUGUGAGCUCAGUUGUCACUGUGCUCUCAAAACUGGGGGAAAAAAAGUUGACAUUACAACUAAAACUGAGACUUUCCUGAUCAGCAUGAUAAUUAUUCAAAGCUUUAAGAUGAUUGUAUAUCACAUUGUAAUUCUAUUCAGAGGAAGUCAAAUAAUAAAAAUUUCAAAUACAAGGUAAUAUAAUGACACACUUGGUAUUUGGGUACUUUGAACUGGGUAGUCAUUCCUUAAUCACUCAGUGAGAAGGGUUCUGUUCUUUAAGAGCUGGUGUUUUAUUACACAGAUUUGUAGAAGAUGUAUGAAGAGAAAAUUGUUAUCUGUUUUUUGAAAAUUAUUUUGACAGAUAAUAACAUAUGAAUUUGUAUUGUGAUGCUAAACUCUUGUGAGUGAUGUUUAAAAAUUGGAAAAGGCAGUGGGUUAACUUGGAACAGAUUAUUCAUCUUGUUGACAGCUGUAUCCUCUGCCUGCAACUUUCAUAUGCUUAAAAUGUCCCAAAUUAGAAAGAGCCCAUGUUCAUAGGGUCUUCUUUAAUAUUUUCUCAUGUCUUAUCAUUUACUUAUUGCAUCGUUUUUUAUAGAGGUUAUGCAAUGCUUCUGACUAAUAAGGUUGUAUAGUCAAAACCUUUCAUAUUCCAUUUUGGAGGCUAUCAAAUAGAAAACCAUCACUAAUAGAUUCUGGUAGGUACUUUUUAAUUGGGAGAAUUAAUCAUAAUGAAACAAUGCGAAUGUUCGCAUUUAUAUGACUGGUUGAUCUAAGAGAAGUAUAAUCAUCACAAGUGUGGGUAUAAGGUUUUUCUGUGAUGAGAAAUUUUAAAAUGUUAUCGGUAUCAUUGGGCAAGUACUUUCCCUUGCCUCCCCUUCCACAAGGCUCCUCCCAU
Molecule: long non-coding RNA, 2593 nt
Organism: Dasypus novemcinctus (nine-banded armadillo)
Lineage: Eukaryota; Metazoa; Chordata; Mammalia; Cingulata; Dasypodidae
Source: Ensembl